RNAcentral lists this ribosomal RNA (254 nucleotides) under uncultured bacterium. RNAcentral describes it as "partial 16S ribosomal RNA". It matches the Rfam family "Bacterial small subunit ribosomal RNA", at positions 524 to 777 of the family's 1533-position model. The record is from RNAcentral.
UACGAAGGAUGCAAGCGUUACUCGGAAUUACUGGGCGUAAAGCGUGCGUAGGUGGUUUGUUAAGUCUGAUGUGAAAGCCCUGGGCUCAACCUGGGAAUUGCAUUGGAUACUGGCAGGCUAGAGUGCGGUAGAGGGUAGUGGAAUUCCCGGUGUAGCAGUGAAAUGCGUAGAGAUCGGGAGGAACAUCCGUGGCGAAGGCGACUACCUGGACCAGCACUGACACUGAGGCACGAAAGCGUGGGGAGCAAACAGGG